CGUGAACGCUGGCGGUAGGCCUAACACAUGCAAGUCGAACGGCAGCACAGUAAGAGCUUGCUCUUACGGGUGGCGAGUGGCGGACGGGUGAGGAAUACAUCGGAAUCUACUUUUUCGUGGGGGAUAACGUAGGGAAACUUACGCUAAUACCGCAUACGACCUACGGGUGAAAGCAGGGGAUCUUCGGACCUUGCGCGAUUGAAUGAGCCGAUGUCGGAUUAGCUAGCUGGCGGGGUAAAGGCCCACCAAGGCGACGAUCCGUAGCUGGUCUGAGAGGAUGAUCAGCCACACUGGAACUGAGACACGGUCCAGACUCCUACGGGAGGCAGCAGUGGGGAAUAUUGGACAAUGGGCGCAAGCCUGAUCCAGCCAUACCACGUGGGUGAAGAAGGCCUUCGGGUUGUAAAGCCCUUUUGUUGGGAAAGAAAAGCAGCAGGUUAAUACCCCGCUGUUCUGACGGUACCCAAAGAAUAAGCACCGGCUAACUUCGUG
Molecule: ribosomal RNA, 492 nt
Filed under: uncultured bacterium
Lineage: Bacteria
Description: partial 16S ribosomal RNA
Rfam family: Bacterial small subunit ribosomal RNA
Source: RNAcentral